Molecule: ribosomal RNA, 497 nt
Filed under: uncultured bacterium
Lineage: Bacteria
Description: partial 16S ribosomal RNA
Rfam family: Bacterial small subunit ribosomal RNA
Source: RNAcentral
GAUGAACGCUGGCGGCGUGCCUAAUACAUGCAAGUCGAGCGAACAGACGAGGAGCUUGCUCCUCUGACGUUAGCGGCGGACGGGUGAGUAACACGUGGAUAACCUACCUAUAAGACUGGGAUAACUUCGGGAAACCGGAGCUAAUACCGGAUAAUAUAUUGAACCGCAUGGUUCAAUAGUGAAAGACGGUUUUGCUGGCACUUAUAGAUGGAUCCGCGCCGCAUUAGCUAGUUGGUAAGGUAACGGCCUACCAAGGCAACGAUGCGUAGCCGACCUGAUGGCGUGACCGGCCACACUGCAACUGCGUCACGGUCCAGACUCCUCCGGGAGGCAGCAGUCGGGACUCUUCCGCAAUGGGCGGACUCCUGACCGAGCAACGCCGCGUGAGUGAUGAAGGUCUUCGGAUCGUAAAACUCUGUUAUUAGGGCAGAACGAAUGUGUAAGUGACUGUGCACGUCUUGACGGUCCCUGCUCAGAAAGCCACGGCUAACUACGUG